This 240-nucleotide unclassified non-coding RNA is filed under the name soil metagenome. RNAcentral's name for it is "partial contains 5.8S ribosomal RNA, internal transcribed spacer 2, and large subunit ribosomal RNA". The record is from RNAcentral.
AACGGUCUAUACCUGCGGUACCUGCGGAGGGAUCAUUACCGAGUGCGGGCCCUCUGGGUCCAACCUCCCACCCGUGUCUAUUGUACCUUGUUGCUUCGGCGGGCCCGCCGUCAGGCCGCCGGGGGGCAUCUGCCCCCGGGCCCGCGCCCGCCGAAGACCCCAACAUGAACACUGUUCUGAAGGUUUGCAGUCUGAGUUGAUUAUCAUAAUCAGUUAAAACUUUUAACAACGGAUCUCUAG